This 672-nucleotide ribosomal RNA is filed under the name Salmonella enterica subsp. enterica serovar Senftenberg. RNAcentral's name for it is "partial 23S ribosomal RNA". It matches the Rfam family "Bacterial large subunit ribosomal RNA", at positions 2270 to 2925 of the family's 2925-position model. RNAcentral also lists the same sequence under 1 other name. The record is from RNAcentral. Lineage: Bacteria; Pseudomonadati; Pseudomonadota; Gammaproteobacteria; Enterobacterales; Enterobacteriaceae.
UGACUGGGGCGGUCUCCUCCUAAAGAGUAACGGAGGAGCACGAAGGUUGGCUAAUCCUGGUCGGACAUCAGGAGGUUAGUGCAAUGGCAUAAGCCAGCUUGACUGCGAGCGUGACGGCGCGAGCAGGUGCGAAAGCAGGUCAUAGUGAUCCGGUGGUUCUGAAUGGAAGGGCCAUCGCUCAACGGAUAAAAGGUACUCCGGGGAUAACAGGCUGAUACCGCCCAAGAGUUCAUAUCGACGGCGGUGUUUGGCACCUCGAUGUCGGCUCAUCACAUCCUGGGGCUGAAGUAGGUCCCAAGGGUAUGGCUGUUCGCCAUUUAAAGUGGUACGCGAGCUGGGUUUAGAACGUCGUGAGACAGUUCGGUCCCUAUCUGCCGUGGGCGCUGGAGAACUGAGGGGGGCUGCUCCUAGUACGAGAGGACCGGAGUGGACGCAUCACUGGUGUUCGGGUUGUCAUGCCAAUGGCACUGCCCGGUAGCUAAAUGCGGAAGAGAUAAGUGCUGAAAGCAUCUAAGCACGAAACUUGCCCCGAGAUGAGUUCUCCCUGAGACUUUAGGUCUCCUGAAGGAACGUUGAAGACGACGACGUUGAUAGGCCGGGUGUGUAAGCGCAGCGAUGCGUUGAGCUAACCGGUACUAAUGAACCGUGAGGCUUAACCUUACAACGCCGAAG